This 1434-nucleotide ribosomal RNA is filed under the name uncultured marine bacterium. RNAcentral's name for it is "partial 16S ribosomal RNA". It matches the Rfam family "Bacterial small subunit ribosomal RNA". The record is from RNAcentral.
AGAGUUUGAUCAUGGCUCAGAUUGAACGUUGGCGGCAGGCCUCAUACAUGCAAGUCGAACGAGAAAGGCCCUUUCGGGGGCCGAGUAGAGUGGCGGACGGGUGAGUAACGCGUAGGAAUCCACCCGGCAGUGGGGGAUAACCCGGGGAAACUCGGGCUAAUACCGCAUGUCGAGCGUCGGCGUAGAGCCGGCGCUGAAAGCGGGGGAUCUCGCGCACGGCUUCGGCCGAAGGCGGAGACCUCGUGCUGUCGGAGGAGCCUGCGUUGGAUUAGCUUGUUGGUGGGGUAAUGGCCUACCAAGGCGACGAUCCAUAGCUGGUCUGAGAGGACGAUCAGCCACACUGGGACUGAGACACGGCCCAGACGUCUACGGACGGCAGCAGUAGGGAAUCUUGCACAAUGGGCGAAAGCCUGAUGCAGCCAUGCCGCGUGUGUGAAGAAGGCCUUAGGGUUGUAAAGCACUUUCAGUGGUGAAGAAAAUGUCGGCGCUAAUACCGCCGGCCCCUGACGUUAGCCACAGAAGAAGCACCGGCCAACUCCGUGCCAGCAGCCGCGGUAAUACGGAGGGUGCAAGCGUUAAUCGGAAUCACUGGGCGUAAAGCGCGCGUAGGCGGUCAAGUUAGUCAGAUGUGAAGCCCCGGGCUCACCCUGGGGAACUGCAUUUUGAUACUGCUUUGACUAGAGUUUGGUAGAGGGAGGCGGAAUUCCCGGUGUAGCGGUGAAAUGCAUAGAUAUCGGGAGGAACACCAGUGGCGAAGGCGGCUUUCUGGACCAACACUGACGCUGAGGUGCGAAAGCGUGGGUAGCAAACAGGAUUAGAUACCCUGGUAGUCCACGCCGUAAACGUUGGGCACUAGGUGUGGGACCUUCUUAACGGGUUCCGUGCCGUAGCUAACGCAUUAAGUGCCCCGCCUGGGGAGUACGGCCGCAAGGCUAAAACUCAAAGGAAUUGACGGGGGCCCGCACAAGCGGCGGAGCAUGUUGCUUAAUUCGAGGCAACGCGAAGAACCUUACCUGGGUUUGACAUGUACGGAAAAGCCAUAGAGAUAUGGUGUCCGUAAGGGCCGUACGCAGGUGGUGCAUGGCUGUCGUCAGCUCGUGUCGUGAGAUGUCGGGUUAAGUCCCGCAACGAGCGCAACCCUCGUCCUAUGUUGCCAGCACGUAAUGGUGGGGACUCGUAGGAGACUGCCGGGGUGAACUCGGAGGAAGGUGGGGACGACGUCAAGUCAUCAUGCCCCUUAUAUCCAGGGCUGCAAACAUGCUACAAUGGCCGGUACAAAGGGCUGCUAUACCGCGAGGUUGAGCGAAUCCCAUAAAGCCGGUCUCAGUUCGGAUUGGAGUCUGCAACUCGACUCCAUGAAGUCGGAGUCGCUAGUAAUCCCGGAUCAGCAACGCCGGGGUGAAUACGUUCCCGGGCCUUGUACACACCGCCCGU